AACCCGCUGAACUUAAGCAUAUCAGUAAGCGGAGGAAAAGAAACUAACAAGGAUCCCCUUAGUAACGGCGAGUGAAA
RNAcentral lists this ribosomal RNA (77 nucleotides) under Pratylenchus japonicus. RNAcentral's name for it is "partial 28S ribosomal RNA". It matches the Rfam family "Eukaryotic large subunit ribosomal RNA", at positions 23 to 98 of the family's 3401-position model. Lineage: Eukaryota; Metazoa; Nematoda; Chromadorea; Rhabditida; Pratylenchidae. The record is from RNAcentral.